Small nuclear RNA from Sparus aurata (gilthead seabream), 169 nucleotides. Its record names the gene U1. It matches the Rfam family "U1 spliceosomal RNA". From Rfam's summary of the family: U1 is a small nuclear RNA (snRNA) component of the spliceosome (involved in pre-mRNA splicing). The record is from Ensembl. NCBI's taxonomy places the organism in Eukaryota, Metazoa, Chordata, Actinopteri, Spariformes, Sparidae.
AUACUUAUCUGGCCUGGCAGGGGAGACACCAUGAUCAAGAAGGUGGUUCACCCAGGGCAAGGCUCAGCCAUUGCAUUCCGGAUGUGCUGACCCCUGCGAAUUACCCAAAUGUGGGAAUCUCGACUGCAUAAUUUGUGGUAGUGGUGGACUGCGUUUGCGCUCUCCCCUG